Molecule: transfer RNA, 76 nt
Filed under: Candidatus Falkowbacteria bacterium CG10_big_fil_rev_8_21_14_0_10_37_14
Lineage: Bacteria; Candidatus Falkowiibacteriota
Description: tRNA-Lys
Rfam family: tRNA
About the family: Transfer RNA (tRNA) molecules are approximately 80 nucleotides in length. Their secondary structure includes four short double-helical elements and three loops (D, anti-codon, and T loops). Further hydrogen bonds mediate the characteristic L-shaped molecular structure. tRNAs have two regions of fundamental functional importance: the anti-codon, which is responsible for specific mRNA codon recognition, and the 3' end, to which the tRNAs corresponding amino acid is attached (by aminoacyl-tRNA synthetases). tRNAs cope with the degeneracy of the genetic code in two manners: having more than one tRNA (with a specific anti-codon) for a particular amino acid; and 'wobble' base-pairing, i.e. permitting non-standard base-pairing at the 3rd anti-codon position.
Source: RNAcentral
GCGUCGUUAGCUCAGUUGGUAGAGCAGUUGCCUUUUAAGCAAAUGGUCACAGGUUCAAAUCCUGUACGACGCACUA